Molecule: long non-coding RNA, 856 nt
Organism: Homo sapiens (human)
Lineage: Eukaryota; Metazoa; Chordata; Mammalia; Primates; Hominidae
Source: Ensembl
ACAUCAAAGGGGCGGGCCGCCCGAGGCCACGCCUCCCUCCUGCCCCGGAGGCUCCGGGAGCGCCAGCUAAGAUGAGAAACAGGAGGAACAGGAUGUAUGUAACUUGCCCAAGGUCACAGAGCCAAGAGGUGGCUGAAGCCAGACUUGAACCCAGGCAUUCAGCUAAGAAACUGCAUUCUUAAGCAAAACAUCACAAGACCUGCUCUAGAGAAAGUGUUCCUGCCUCCUGCUAGGCAAGGUGAUGCCCUAGGGGAAAGGAAGGAGGAGAAAGGGGAAGUGCUGCAAUGAACCUCAGAGGCUGGAUCUUGCUGACUCAUCUGGGGUACCAAGGACAGACAAAGGACAUGGAGUCCAGGCCCAGGAGGCGAUACCAGGCCAGCAGUUUCACUGAUGCUCCUGUCAUGACGAUGACUGCCUCCCUCCUCCCCUUGGUCCCUGACUCAGUGUCUGCAGUGACCAGGCACCAGGCAGGGAGCAAGGAACCAAGCCUUUCACCUGCUCCCACCAACUCCUAUGGUGCUCCCUUUCCAAGGCUAGGUCUCCUCUCCACCCAGUUCCUUAUCACGUACCAUGAGAAGCUGUCACCUUGGCAACUGUCACCUUCUGGUGAGAUUUACAAUUGCACUGCUACAACUGCUUGUGGCAUGGUAAAGUUGCACCAGGACCUCUGCUGUCCAUGAGAUCAAAGUUCCAGGCCAAGGUGAGCACCCGCCUCCAUCCUAGAGAGGAUUCUGUGAGAAUCAUUGAGAGGGAGCUACUCUCUCCAGGCAAUCACGGGGGUGAGAAAGAAAAAAAAAAAGAGAGGGAGUUACUCAUGUACUGACUUAUUCAAUGAAUGCUUAUGUUGUAAUACCUA